RNAcentral lists this ribosomal RNA (1213 nucleotides) under Clostridium sp. Its description in RNAcentral is "partial 23S ribosomal RNA". It matches the Rfam family "Bacterial large subunit ribosomal RNA", at positions 787 to 2013 of the family's 2925-position model. The record is from RNAcentral. Lineage: Bacteria; Bacillati; Bacillota; Clostridia; Eubacteriales; Clostridiaceae.
CGUUGAAAAGUGCUUGGAUGACUUGUGGGUAGCGGAGAAAUUCCAAACGAACUUGGAGAUAGCUGGUUCUCUCCGAAAUAGCUUUAGGGCUAGCGUCGACAUUAAGAUUCUUGGAGGUAGAGCACUGUUUGGGUGAGGGGUCCAUCCCGGAUUACCAAUCUCAGAUAAACUCCGAAUGCCAAUGAAUUAUGGUCGGCAGUCAGACUGCGAGUGCUAAGAUCCGUAGUCGAAAGGGAAACAGCCCAGACCACCAGCUAAGGUCCCAAAAUAAUUGUUAAGUGGAAAAGGAUGUGGGGUUGCACAGACAACUAGGAUGUUAGCUUAGAAGCAGCUAUUCAUUCAAAGAGUGCGUAAUAGCUCACUAGUCGAGUGACCCUGCGCCGAAAAUGUACCGGGGCUAAAACAAUUUACCGAAGCUGUGGAUACCUUUAUAGGUAUGGUAGGAGAGCGUUCUAUGUGUGAAGAAGGUGUACCGUGAGGAGUGCUGGAACGCAUAGAAGUGAGAAUGCCGGUAUGAGUAGCGAAAGACAGGUGAGAAUCCUGUCCACCGUAAGACUAAGGUUUCCAGGGGAAGGCUCGUCCGCCCUGGGUUAGUCGGGACCUAAGGAGAGACCGAAAGGUGUAUCCGAUGGACAACAGGUUGAUAUUCCUGUACUAGAGUAUGUAGUGAUGGAGGGACGCAGUAGGCUAACUAAAGCAGACGAUUGGAAGAGUCUGUCUAAGCAGUGAGGUGUGAUAUGAGUCAAAUGCUUAUAUCUAUAACAUUGAGCUGUGAUGGGGAGCGAAGUUUAGUAGCGAAGUUAGUGACGUCACACUGCCAAGAAAAGCUUCUAGCGUUUAAACAUACUCUACCCGUACCGCAAACCGACACAGGUAGUCGAGGCGAGUAGCCUCAGGUGAGCGAGAGAACUCUCGUUAAGGAACUCGGCAAAAUGACCCCGUAACUUCGGGAGAAGGGGUGCUGACUUUAAGUCAGCCGCAGUGAAUAGGCCCAAGCAACUGUUUAUCAAAAACACAGCUCUCUGCUAAAUCGUAAGAUGAUGUAUAGGGGGUGACGCCUGCCCGGUGCUGGAAGGUUAAGAGGAGUGCUUAGCGUAAGCGAAGGUAUGAAUUGAAGCCCCAGUAAACGGCGGCCGUAACUAUAACGGUCCUAAGGUAGCGAAAUUCCUUGUCGGGUAAGUUCCGACCCGCACGAAAGGCGUAAUGAUUUGGG